UACAGUUGUAUUUUUUAGUUUUUUGAUACAAUGUUUUGACUCUUCGUCUUAUUUGAAAUUUUUUUACGAUUAAUAUUUUUAUUCUUACUAGAUGAUAAAACAUGAACAAUACUUUAUGCGUGACUAAUUUUUAAGUUUUUAUACAAAUUUUUCAAAUAAAACGAAUGAUCAAAUGUUGGACAUGGAAAAACA
RNAcentral lists this microRNA precursor (192 nucleotides) under Oryza brachyantha (malo sina). RNAcentral's name for it is "MIR812 microRNA precursor family". It matches the Rfam family "MIR812 microRNA precursor family". The record is from Rfam by way of RNAcentral. Lineage: Eukaryota; Viridiplantae; Streptophyta; Magnoliopsida; Poales; Poaceae.